GGGGCUAUAGCUCAAUGGUGGAGCAGGGGACUCAUAAUCCCUUGGUUCUCGGUUCGAGUCCGGGUGGCCCUACCA
This 75-nucleotide transfer RNA is filed under the name Adlercreutzia equolifaciens. Its description in RNAcentral is "tRNA-Ile". It matches the Rfam family "tRNA". From Rfam's summary of the family: Transfer RNA (tRNA) molecules are approximately 80 nucleotides in length. Lineage: Bacteria; Bacillati; Actinomycetota; Coriobacteriia; Eggerthellales; Eggerthellaceae. The record is from RNAcentral. RNAcentral also lists the same sequence under 2 other names.